RNAcentral lists this ribosomal RNA (251 nucleotides) under uncultured bacterium. RNAcentral describes it as "partial 16S ribosomal RNA". It matches the Rfam family "Bacterial small subunit ribosomal RNA", at positions 60 to 339 of the family's 1533-position model. The record is from RNAcentral.
AGUCGAACGAAGUAGCAAUACUUAGUGGCAGACGGGUGAGUAACAUGUGGGUAUCUGCCCUUUGGCCUGGAAUAACACGAGGAAACUUGUGCUAAUACCGGAUAAGUCUUUACGGAGAAAGUUUUAAUGCCAAAAGAUGAGCCCGCAUUUGAUUAGCUAGUUGGUAGGGUAAUGGCCUACCAAGACUGUGAUCAAUAGCUGAUUUGAGAGGAUGAUCAGCCACAUUGGGACUGAGACACGGCCCAAACUCC